Molecule: ribosomal RNA, 254 nt
Filed under: uncultured bacterium
Lineage: Bacteria
Description: partial 16S ribosomal RNA
Rfam family: Bacterial small subunit ribosomal RNA
Source: RNAcentral
UACGUAGGGGGCAAGCGUUGUCCGGAAUCACUGGGCGUAAAGCGCACGCAGGCGGAUCGUUAAGUCGGGGGUGAAAUCCCGAGGCUCAACCUCGGAACUGCCUUCGAUACUGGCGAUCUUUGAGUCCGGGAGAGGUGAGUGGAACUCCGAGUGUAGAGGUGAAAUUCGUAGAUAUUCGGAAGAACACCAGUGGCGAAGGCGGCUCACUGGCCCGGUACUGACGCUCAGGUGCGAAAGCGUGGGGAGCAAACAGG